GUUCAGUUUCCGUCUCUCGUCUCCUUGCCAUGGAAAUCUAAAUACCUCGAUCGACCGCCAUAUCUUCCCAAAUCCCAAUUUCCCCUUUCUCUGCUAGAUCUCUCGCUGGCUCUGUUUGUGACUCUGUACAUGCACAUUGGAGUGGGAUAAUCGCAUGCUCACAUAGCUUUUUAUGCGCGCCAUAUAAUGCUUAUAAGAAUUCAGUAGGGAGGGAGAAUUCAAUUAUGGAAUGGAAACGGUGGCAGUGGUGCCUUUUGACGUGAAAUAUUAUUGGUGGUCCCUGGAUGUUGAGGAGUUAGAGCUAUGGUGGACUCAGACAAGGGAAUGUCUUCUGAUAACAUAAAGGGGCUGGUGUUAGCUUUGUCUUCCAGCUUCUUUAUUGGAGCAAGCUUUAUUGUAAAGAAAAAGGGUUUGAAAAAAGCUGCUGCUUCUGGUCUCAGGGCAGGUGCUGGGGGUUAUUCUUACCUGUAUGAGCCACUUUGGUGGAUUGGCAUGAUUACAAUGGUUGUUGGGGAAAUUGCUAACUUUGCAGCUUAUGCAUUUGCUCCAGCUAUUCUGGUCACUCCUCUUGGUGCCCUUAGCAUUAUUAUCAGGCAAGAGCAGAUUUACAGUUGUCUAUAAUAUGUCAGUUAUCUGAUUGUAAUGCUAUCUUCGAUGUUGUCUUACAGUGCUGCCCUAGCACAUGUUAUUUUACGGGAGAAAUUGCAUAUUUUUGGGAUUCUUGGUUGUGCUUUAUGCGUUGUGGGUUCAACAACAAUUGUGUUGCAUGCUCCUCAAGAGCGAGAGAUUGAGUCUGUCAAGGAAGUGUGGGAACUUGCAACAGAGCCAGCCUUUCUUUUCUAUGCUACUUUUGUCAUUGGAGCAGUUUUCAUCAUCAUUGUUCGUGUUAUACCCCAAUAUGGGCAGACUCAUGUUAUGGUCUAUAUAGCAGUUUGUUCACUUGUGGGUUCACUAUCGGUCAUGGGUGUCAAAGCAAUUGGAAUUGCUCUGAAGCUAACUUUCUCAGGGAUGAAUCAGUUAGUAUACCCCCAAACGUGGGCCUUUACCUUGGUUGUGGUUACCUGUGUGAUCACUCAGAUGAACUAUUUAAACAAGGCUCUUGAUACGUUCAACACAGCUGUUGUAUCGCCUAUAUACUAUGUGAUGUUUACAUCCUUGACCAUUUUGGCCAGUGUAAUCAUGUUUAAGGAUUGGGAUCGACAGAAUCCAACUCAAAUUGUUACUGAAAUGUGUGGAUUUGUGACUAUCCUUUCUGGAACUUUUCUUCUUCAUAAGACAAAGGACAUGGUUGAGGGUUUAUCACCAUCUCAAUCAUUGCGCCUUCCCAAGCACAUAGAAGAUGAUGUGUUUGAAACUGAAGGGAUGCCUCUUCGACGUCUAGAAUCCCUGCGACAGGCAUAGCUGUAUCCAGUGAUUCAUCUGUAUACUUUUAUUCAAGAUCUUGCAUGUAUUUUGGGGGAUUGCGGGACUCACACCAUUGGCCUGUAUAUUACCAACACGUUUAACUGGUCCUUGCGUUGUUUGAGAGGAUAAUGAGCAAAGUCGGCUGGAAUUCUUCUCAGAUAGAAAAUGAAAUGAGCAUUUUCAGCUGCUUCCUUGUAUACAGGUUUAACUCCGCUAAGGACCCCACCCUGGGGAAUUGUAGUUUGGAACACAUGGUUUUAACAUGAUAUAUCUUAGUUUCAUAUUAACAAAGAAAUGCAGAUAUUUUCCCCCUGGAUACCAAGGCAUUGUAGAAGAGAGGGGUUGUGUGUUAUAAUGCUUUUCAGGUAAAACUAAGAUCUGUUGCCUUCAAUUUAGUUCCAAAGCACCGGUGUCACUGUCCACAUUUGGAAUUCUUCUCUUCAGAAAAAUUUUUAAACGCUUUUGGAUGGGUUUCUUGCAUGAUCUUGUCACUUAAUGAAAAUUCUUGUGCCAUGUUGAUUUGAUAAUGCUUCUAUGACAAGAAUGGUUGCAAUAGAAAAUUUUCAAAUGUAUGUAUAUAGUUGAAAGUAUAACAGGCUAUGUUUUUU
RNAcentral lists this unclassified non-coding RNA (2012 nucleotides) under Hevea brasiliensis (rubber tree). The record is from RNAcentral. Lineage: Eukaryota; Viridiplantae; Streptophyta; Magnoliopsida; Malpighiales; Euphorbiaceae.